This 806-nucleotide ribosomal RNA is filed under the name uncultured soil bacterium. RNAcentral describes it as "SSU rRNA". It matches the Rfam family "Bacterial small subunit ribosomal RNA", at positions 1 to 825 of the family's 1533-position model. The record is from RNAcentral.
UAGAGUUUGAUCCUGGCUCAGGACGAACGCUGGCGGCGUGCUUAACACAUGCAAGUCAAGGGGGCCCAGCAAUGGGCAACCGGCGAACGGGUGCGUAACACGUGAGCAACCUACCGAACUGUGGGGGAUAGCCGGCCUAACGGCCGAGUAAUACCGCAUACGCUUUCAUUGAGGCAUUUCAGUGAAAGGAAACCUACGGGACAGAUCGAGGGGCUCGCGGCCUAUCAGCUAGUUGGCGAGGUAACGGCUCACCAAGGCGACGACGGGUAGCUGGUCUGAGAGGAUGGCCAGCCACAUUGGGACUGAGAUACGGCCCAGACUCCUACGGGAGGCAGCAGUGGGGAAUCUUGCGCAAUGGCCUAACGGCUGACGCAGCGACGCCGCGUGUGGGAUGAAGCUCUUCGGAGUGUAAACCACUGUUGCCCGGGACGAAUAGCUCGAUUAAUCGAGCCUGACGGUACCGGGUGAGGAAGCACCGGCUAACUCCGUGCCAGCAGCCGCGGUAAUACGGGGGGUGCGAGCGUUGUCCGGAAUCACUGGGCGUAAAGGGCGCGUAGGUGGUUUGAUAAGGGUGUGGUGAAAGUCCGGGGCUCAACCCCGGAUCUGCCGUGCCGACUGUCAAACUCGAGGGCUGUAGAGGCAGACGGAAUUCCGGGUGUAGCGGUGGAAUGCGUAGAGAUCCGGAGGAAGACCGGUGGCGAAGGCGGUCUGCUGGGCAGUUUCUGACACUGAUGCGCGACAGCGUGGGAGCAAACAGGAUUAGAUACCCUGGUAGUCACGCCGUAAACGAUGGGUACUAGUGCCUG